GGUGGCUCACUGGUAGAGUGCUUGCCUCCCAUGCAUAAGACCCUGGGUUCGAUUCUCAGCACCA
Molecule: transfer RNA, 64 nt
Filed under: Dipodomys ordii (Ord's kangaroo rat)
Lineage: Eukaryota; Metazoa; Chordata; Mammalia; Rodentia; Heteromyidae
Rfam family: tRNA
About the family: Transfer RNA (tRNA) molecules are approximately 80 nucleotides in length.
Source: Rfam by way of RNAcentral